ACACAUGCAAGUCGAACGAGGGCUUCGGCCCUAGUGGCGCACGGGUGAGUAACGCGUGGGAACCUGCCCUGUGGUACGGAAUAACUCCGGGAAACUGGAGCUAAUACCGUAUGUGUCCUGCGGGACAAAGAUUUAUCGCCAUGGGAUGGGCCCGCGUAGGAUUAGCUUGUUGGUGGGGUAACGGCCUACCAAGGCUACGAUCCUUAGCUGGUCUGAGAGGAUGAUCAGCCACACUGGGACUGAGACACGGCCCAGACUCCUACGGGAGGCAGCAGUGGGGAAUAUUGGACAAUGGGCGCAAGCCUGAUCCAGCAAUGCCGCGUGAGUGAUGAAGGCCUUCGGGUUGUAAAGCUCUUUCGCACGCGACGAUGAUGACGGUAGCGUGAGAAGAAGCCCCGGCUAACUUCGUGCCAGCAGCCGCGGUAAUACGAAGGGGGCUAGCGUUGUUCGGAAUUACUGGGCGUAAAGGGCGCGUAGGCGGUACUUCAAGUCAGGCGUGAAAGCCCCGGGCUCAACCUGGGAACCGCGCUUGAGACUGGAGAACUAGAGUUCGGGAGAGGAUGGUGGAAUUCCCAGUGUAGAGGUGAAAUUCGUAGAUAUUGGGAAGAACACCGAUGGCGAAGGCAGCCAUCUGGACCGACACUGACGCUGAGGCGC
RNAcentral lists this ribosomal RNA (657 nucleotides) under uncultured Skermanella sp. RNAcentral describes it as "bacterial SSU rRNA". It matches the Rfam family "Bacterial small subunit ribosomal RNA", at positions 51 to 754 of the family's 1533-position model. The record is from RNAcentral. Lineage: Bacteria; Pseudomonadati; Pseudomonadota; Alphaproteobacteria; Rhodospirillales; Azospirillaceae.